UGGCUCACCAAGGCGAUGAUACGUAGCCGAACUGAGAGGUUGAUCGGCCACAUUGGGACUGAGACACGGCCCAAACUCCUACGGGAGGCAGCAGUAGGGAAUCUUCCACAAUGGACGCAAGUCUGAUGGAGCAACGCCGCGUGAGUGAAGAAGGCUUUCGGGUCGUAAAACUCUGUUGUUGGAGAAGAAUGGUCGGCAGAGUAACUGUUGUCGGCGUGACGGUAUCCAACCAGAAAGCCACGGCUAACUACGUGCCAGCAGCCGCGGUAAUACGUAGGUGGCAAGCGUUAUCCGGAUUUAUUGGGCGUAAAGCGAGCGCAGGCGGUUUUUUAAGUCUGAUGUGAAAGCCCUCGGCUUAACCGAGGAAGCGCAUCGGAAACUGGGAAACUUGAGUGCAGAAGAGGACAGUGGAACUCCAUGUGUAGCGGUGAAAUGCGUAGAUAUAUGGAAGAACACCAGUGGCGAAGGCGGCUGUCUGGUCUGUAACUGACGCUGAGGCUCGAAAGCAUGGGUAGCGAACAGGAUUAGAUACCCUGGUAGUCCAUGCCGUAAACGAUGAAUGCUAGGUGUUGGAGGGUUUCCGCCCUUCAGUGCCGCAGCUAACGCAUUAAGCAUUCCGCCUGGGGAGUACGACCGCAAGGUUGAAACUCAAAGGAAUUGACGGGGGCCCGCACAAGCGGUGGAGCAUGUGGUUUAAUUCGAAGCAACGCGAAGAACCUUACCAGGUCUUGACAUCUUUUGAUCACCUGAGAGAUCAGGUUUCCCCUUCGGGGGCAAAAUGACAGGUGGUGCAUGGUUGUCGUCAGCUCGUGUCGUGAGAUGUUGGGUUAAGUCCCGCAACGAGCGCAACCCUUAUGACUAGUUGCCAGCAUUUAGUUGGGCACUUUAGUAAGACUGCCGGUGACAAACCGGAGGAAGGUGGGGAUGACGUCAAAUCAUCAUGCCCCUUAUGACCUGGGCU
Molecule: ribosomal RNA, 961 nt
Filed under: Lacticaseibacillus paracasei subsp. tolerans
Lineage: Bacteria; Bacillati; Bacillota; Bacilli; Lactobacillales; Lactobacillaceae
Description: bacterial SSU rRNA
Rfam family: Bacterial small subunit ribosomal RNA
Source: RNAcentral